Molecule: long non-coding RNA, 1001 nt
Filed under: Malus domestica (apple)
Lineage: Eukaryota; Viridiplantae; Streptophyta; Magnoliopsida; Rosales; Rosaceae
Description: long non-coding RNA (MDOM_LNC018327)
Source: RNAcentral
AAGACUUCAAUACGUCACAAAUUUGUAAAUAAGCAUAUAACUUCCAGUAAUCACAAUAUCUCGCAGAAAUAAAUAAAUCACAUCGAGUGUUCAUCGACACAUGCUGACACACGAGUUCAUACAGAGGUAUUCUAACACGAACAUGACUAGGUGUAAUAAUGAUUUACACUCUAGUACUACAAUCACGUGAAGACUGGCACUAUGUGCAUCACACACGAGUCCUAAUUGCCUAUAGCAAUCUAGAACAGGACUGUCACCUACAAUGGAUCCAAAGUGAGCGUAUGGUGUGAUGUGAACAUACACGUGAAAGACUGGCCCUGGCUCGGGCAAGUACUAACACUGGUGCAACAACGAUGAACAGAUAAUGUAAAUAAAAUCAUACCGCGGUAAAUCAAUAAUUUAUGUCAACGUAAUACUAUUCAAUAAAUAUUAAUCAUGGCCAUAACUAAAAUCCCACAAAAGUACACAUACUUGUGCAUCCCGUAGGAUUUAGGAUAAUUUCGUAAAUUCCGUCGUUUCACUAAUUUUUUUAAGCAUUAGACUAAUCUAGGCAUACGUAAGAAAUUCUUUUUCAAAUAUAUAAAUGGAAACUAAAUAAAUAUAUAAUAUUAAAAAGCAAAGACCCACUCACAGAUAUUUGCGAGGUCGCAGCUGUUCAAAUUAGGAAAGCUGGAGUCAUUGAUAAUAAUCGCACCUAAGCAUAUCAUUGGGGCCCGUUAGUAAAACUCAACUAAAAUGACUAAAUUUGGGAAAACAUAGUGCGAAUUUGGAAUCAGAGCGUCGAACCAUGCUAAGAGGGUCCGCAAAAGUUUUUACACAAAGUCGACGAAAAGUCAACGGUCAACUCUAAAAGUCAACAGAGCAGCCCCAACGAUCAAUUACAUUAAAACUUUGAAAUUUCACUAAAUGGAUGUUAAAAACGGACUCAGGGCAUUGAAAUUAGCCUAGGAGGGUUUCCGAAAAAAUUUCGAAUCCGGGUCGCGAAUCUGGGCUUCCUCUUU